RNAcentral lists this ribosomal RNA (119 nucleotides) under Procavia capensis (Cape rock hyrax). The record is from RNAcentral. Lineage: Eukaryota; Metazoa; Chordata; Mammalia; Hyracoidea; Procaviidae.
GCUUAUAAGACACCACCCUGAACAUACCCAGCCUCAUCCAAUCUUGGAAGCUAAGCAAGGUUGGGCCUGGUUUUGUACUUGGAUGGGAGACCUCCUGGGAAUACUGGGUGCUGUAGGCU